UCUGGUGGCGAUAGCCAAGUGGUCACACCCGUUCCCAUGCCGAACACGGAAGUUAAGCACUUGAACGCCGAAAGUAGUUGGGGGCUUCCCCCUGUGAGGAUAGGACGAUCCCGCCAGGC
This 119-nucleotide ribosomal RNA is filed under the name Exiguobacterium sp. SL14. The record is from RNAcentral. Lineage: Bacteria; Bacillati; Bacillota; Bacilli; Caryophanales.